GAGCUUGUUCAGCCUCCGCCACCCAUUCUUGAGAAAUUCUGACCUUGGCUUUAUUUUGGUAGAGAAGUAUAUACUCAACAAAACUUCAGCACUUUUAGAAAGGAUGAGAAAAUGGUGAUGAAGUCACCUCCUUGGCAGUUCAAAGUACCCAGCAUGCCAAGACCUCAUACUCUGGAGUAUCACAAGCCCAGCAAUUGCCACCCCCUCACAUCACCUUAACUGGUACACAGUAGAAUUUACUAGCUGGUAAGUGGCCUUGUCGGAGUAGGUGCUUGUCAAUUAGAAGACCUCAAAAAGCAGGAACUCUGGCUCAUACCAGCUGUGUGAUCUAGCAUUGUUCUUGGCCUAUGAUUUCAGUUGGAAUAGAUUAAUGAUUCUCAAAAUGUGCUUCGGGG
RNAcentral lists this long non-coding RNA (395 nucleotides) under Fukomys damarensis (Damara mole-rat). RNAcentral describes it as "lncRNA (ENSFDAG00000025166.1)". The record is from RNAcentral. Lineage: Eukaryota; Metazoa; Chordata; Mammalia; Rodentia; Bathyergidae.